GGCGUGUGCUUAAAGCAGGGGCCUGAAGAGUGGCUCUUCUGUUUAUAAUACACCCAACAGGAAUCUGGGGGUCAUUGUGAUGAGGGCACAAAACCUGUGGCCUCCCUGUGAACAAAUUCCCUACCUGU
This is a small nucleolar RNA of Nycticebus coucang (slow loris), 128 nucleotides long. RefSeq annotates it as small nucleolar RNA SNORA11. NCBI's taxonomy places the organism in Eukaryota, Metazoa, Chordata, Mammalia, Primates, Lorisidae. The record is from RefSeq and is a predicted model, not a curated record. The transcript has a single exon.